UGGCGGCGUUGCUUAACACAUGCAAGUCGAACGGAGUUUUUAACGGAAGUUUUCGGAUGGAAGUUUAGAAACUUAGUGGCGGACGGGUGAGUAACGCGUGGGUAACCUGCCUCAUACAGGGGGAUAACAGUUAGAAAUGACUGCUAACACCGCAUAAUAUAGCGAAACCGCAUGAUUUUUGCUAUCAAAUAUUUAUAGGUAUGAGAUGGGCCCGCGUCUGAUUAGCUAGUUGGUGGGGUAAAAGCCUACCAAGGCGACGAUCAGUAGCCGGCUUGAGAGAGUGACCGGCCACAUUGGGACUGAGACACGGCCCAAACUCCUACGGGAGGCAGCAGUGGGGAAUAUUGGACAAUGGGGGAAACCCUGAUCCAGCGAACCGCCGCGUGAGUGAAGAAGUAUUUCGGUAUGUAAAGCUCUAUCAGCAGGGAAGAUAAUGACAGUACCUGACUAAGAAGCCCCGGCUAACUACGUGCCAGCCGCAGC
This 483-nucleotide ribosomal RNA is filed under the name uncultured bacterium. RNAcentral describes it as "bacterial SSU rRNA". It matches the Rfam family "Bacterial small subunit ribosomal RNA", at positions 37 to 518 of the family's 1533-position model. The record is from RNAcentral.